UCUUCUCCACUCCCCCACAAUCGAGCUCCCCAAUCCACUCUUUCCCUACCCAAUUUCCACCUCCACCGCCUCCCUCCUCCAGCUUCUCCGACGGAUUCGCCAGUCCGGCCGUCCGCCCCGACGGCAGGGAUGACCGAGGGGUCCUGCCUCUGUGUCUACAAGGGGUUUGCCGCUCCCGCCGCCAAGGCCACGGGCCGAUGCGUCGCGAAACGGUCGCAUCUCAGCUCCCCCAUGCCAGUCGCCCUGCACCGAGCAGAGCUCCCUGCUGCAUGACCUCCCCAUGGCUGCCGGCCUCUCCCCGGCCCGAGCCGCUUGUGGAUCCACCGGUCUCGCCCCCAUCUUGCCCAUGGCUGCGUGACCGCGGCCGCGGAACGACAUCGCGGCGGUCACGAGUCUUCAAAGGGGAACGACGCGAUGUCGUGCCAUGCCGGCAAGCAGCAACCUCGAAGGACUUGCCAGUUCGCCGGAAUCGUGGUUCCAGCGGCGACAUAGGAAGGGGGGCGGUGGAGGAGACCGAAGCGGCCGGCGAGUUCUCUUGAAGUCCGCUCGCGCCUCACCGUGAUUUUGCCCAGCGUGCUCCGGCGUGUACCACCAACCGGCGGUGCGGCGCACAGACCCGCUGCUGCUGAGGCAUGUCCGCCGCCGCCAAGGCGGCAUAUAUAGCAGCAAGCACGACCGCACGGAGGUAGGCUUGCAGGCGGAGCGGCCCAGCAAGGUUGGUUCAACACGCGAUGGCGAUGCACGGCCGCCUGCAUCUCUCUCCGGCAGUUACUGGUUCUGAGUUCCCUACUUUUUUUUUGCCCCGCCAUUCUUAUAUUCGCUAGACUGGUUGUGGAACUUUCUUUCCGUCUCAGCCAUGGUAGAAUCAACAGGAGCAUUCAGCGCAUCAUGACUCUGGUGAAGUCCAAACAUAUUAUGUGCUCAGAUUUGUGAUUUUGGUGCCUAAUAAGUGUUUGUUGUUAUGUCUACAAGAACCUAAUCAGUUAUUUUCAGAUUUCUUAUUAGUCUAUGUGGGCUAGAGUAAUGUAUUCAGCUGCCCAACAUGUGGUGUAUCUGGUUAUUGAUUCAAUUUCUCCGGGUGGUGCGCUGAAUGCUCCUGCUAAUUCUACCGCAGGCCUUUCUUUUAUUGUGCCGGCUGGUGGUAAUGGUUUGUCUGGUUUAUGCUUUAGUUUUUACCAUUCAUGUUUUUAAAGGCUUUUUGGUGAUGCGUUGUUGUCUCUCGGAAUACAGGUAUUGGGAAAUGCGGCAAAACUUAUAUGAGCUGGAUUUCAAUGUUGUUGCCGUGAGGUGUAACUUCGCCAUUCCAGGAAGAAUUGGUGGGUUGUCUCCGCUCCUGAGACGACCCAGCACUUUCGAGCGAGAAGAAGCUCAUAUGUUCCCAUCACUUGCUGAAAAUCCAACAUAAAACUAUUUGUCUCCGCUCCUGACACUCAUGCCAUGCUAUUAUUUUGGCUGACACGUUUCUUUGGUGUGUUUAAAUGUUGAUGCCAGAAUCAUUACCAAUGCUGCGAUAUCUGGCUGAGGGACUGUCAAAGAGGUUUCUUUAGUUGUGGUCACCAGAUUUGAAGAAGAAGCAGAGUAGUUCUCAGCGGUGUCUUGGUCGAUAUACUGAAUCUUGUGCUGCAACACUAAACCUGAAGCAGAAACAGAAUAGUUUUUGACGGUUUCUUGGCAGAUACACUAUUCUUAGAAACCUGGGGCAUUGAGUUGAGGUGAAGAGGGGAAUAGGAAUGGGAAAUGUAUAUUCUUAGAUACACUACAUAGGAUUGCUGCCACCAAGAUAAUAAAUUCUAGCAUGUAUAUAGCUUAUCAGAGAGAGGUUUAUCAUCUUAACUAAGGAGGAUAGUAAUGUCAUGUGAGGUAAUAAACUAAUGUUCUUUGCUGAUUAUGUUCGUUUUUACUUUUUCUCUAGGUCCCUACAUGGAUUCUUGGGAUGAGGACUACUGAUGUUUGGUCGUCACUGGACCAUUGAUGGUGAUGAUUUUUAUCUGCUUGGUCUCAUAUGGACAAUGGGUUUUGGUCACGUUUGUCUGGACAUAAUUCUUGGUCGUCGCCUAUUUGUUUUUCGGGUUUCGAUCUUUUCGCCUUCUUCUGAACAUCAGCUGGUUUGUCUACUCCUGUCCAUGUUAGUUCUACUUAUGGACAUGCUUAUGAGGCUAGAGCAUCUUGGUCUACGCCUGGGGCUGCUUCUGCCCAGUUUUGCUACUAUGAAAGUUACUCAUGCUUUAUCGAGAUGUCAUCCGUAUCAUAUGGUUCCAUGUAAACUUAACAUGCGUAUUCUCAAAUAAUCAGUUUUUCCAACUGCAGUU
This is a long non-coding RNA of Lolium perenne, 2309 nucleotides long. RefSeq lists it as uncharacterized. Lineage: Eukaryota; Viridiplantae; Streptophyta; Magnoliopsida; Poales; Poaceae. The record is from RefSeq and is a predicted model, not a curated record.